This 401-nucleotide ribosomal RNA is filed under the name uncultured bacterium. RNAcentral describes it as "bacterial SSU rRNA". It matches the Rfam family "Bacterial small subunit ribosomal RNA", at positions 917 to 1322 of the family's 1533-position model. The record is from RNAcentral.
GGGCCCGCACAAGCGGUGGAGCAUGUGGUUUAAUUCGAUGAUACGCGAGGAACCUUACCAGGGCUUAAAUGUGAGUGAUCGGUGCUGAAAGGCACUUUUCCUUCGGGACACGAAACAAGGUGCUGCAUGGUUGUCGUCAGCUCGUGCCGUGAGGUGUUGGGUUAAGUCCCGUAACGAGCGCAACCCUCGUCCCUAUUUGCCAGCACUUCGGGUGGGAACUCUAGGGAGACUGCCGGUGACAAACCGGGGAAGGUGGGGACGACGUCAAGUCAUCAUGGCCCUUACGGGCUGGGCUACACACGUGCUACAAUGGCAGUGACAGAGGGACGCUACCAGGUGACUGGAUGCAAAUCCACAAAACCGGGCCCAGUUCGGAUUGGAGUCUGCAACUCGACUCCAUG